ACGAACGCUGGCGGCAUGCCUAACACAUGCAAGUCGAACGAGACCUUCGGGUCUAGUGGCGCACGGGUGCGUAACGCGUGGGAACCUGCCUUUAGGUUCGGAAUAACUCAGAGAAAUUUGAGCUAAUACCGGAUGAUGUCUUCGGACCAAAGAUUUAUCGCCUUUAGAUGGGCCCGCGUUGGAUUAGCUAGUUGGUGGGGUAAAGGCCUACCAAGGCGACGAUCCAUAGCUGGUCUGAGAGGAUGAUCAGCCACACUGGGACUGAGACGCGGCCCAGACUCCUACGGGAAGCAGCAGUGGGGAAUAUUGGACAAUGGGCGAAAGCCUGAUCCAGCAAUGCCGCGUGAGUGAUGAAGGCCCUAGGGUUGUAAAGCUCUUUUACCCGAGAUGAUAAUGACAGUAUCGGGAGAAUAAGCUCCGGCUAACUCCGUG
RNAcentral lists this ribosomal RNA (432 nucleotides) under uncultured bacterium. RNAcentral's name for it is "partial 16S ribosomal RNA". It matches the Rfam family "Bacterial small subunit ribosomal RNA", at positions 29 to 507 of the family's 1533-position model. The record is from RNAcentral.